GCAUAAACAUAUGUGGUUUAGCUUCUGAGAGCAAGACUUCUUUACAGGCAGAUUUGGCAUUUAAGCAAUCAAUCAAGCACACUUCUUUAAUGUUAGGCAGAUAAUUAUAACGCAGCAAAAUUGACCUAUUUUCAUCCAAUCAAAUAAAUUUCAAGGAAUAUAUCAGGGUUUUUUUUUCUUUCUUUCUUACUAGCUGAACAAAGAGUCUACCUACAGGAUUAAAUAAAGCAUGUUCCAGAAUAUUCAGCCUGGAAAAUUCUGGCAUCCACACAGAAUCAAAGGAGAAUAAUUUCUUGGAGUAAUAUUUUGAAAUUUGUCAAGCUGAGGUUCUGGAGUCUUCCAUAAGUCAAAACAGCAUAUCCAGCUGAUGAGUCAUGCACAUUCCAAUGGCUGACUGACCAAAGGAAGAGGAAAGAAGUUGCCAAGCAACCGGCUCUCAACUUGGAUGGACAAUGUGACGGAUUGUUUUGGAAACUUGAGGAACUGAAACUUAUAUUGGGGUGAAAAGCCCGGGAACUUCAGUACUGGCUUUUCACCACUAGUGCCAAGAUGGUGUAUCUAAAUAAAUUUGUUCUUUGAGGAAAA
Long non-coding RNA from Pantherophis guttatus, 585 nucleotides. RefSeq lists it as uncharacterized. The record is from RefSeq and is a predicted model, not a curated record. Lineage: Eukaryota; Metazoa; Chordata; Lepidosauria; Squamata; Colubridae.